Molecule: long non-coding RNA, 698 nt
Organism: Phyllostomus hastatus (greater spear-nosed bat)
Lineage: Eukaryota; Metazoa; Chordata; Mammalia; Chiroptera; Phyllostomidae
Exons: 3
Source: RefSeq, a predicted model, not a curated record
UGCAGAGGGAUUCCCCCCCCCCACCCAGGCCCGCUGAAUCAGAAACUCUGGGGGGGGGGGGGGCCCAACCGCCUGCUUUUUCAGCCCUCCCGGAGAUCCGCAUGCGUGGUCCAGUCUGAGACCCACUGGCCCAGGGCCAUGGCUCUCUGGGGUCUGGGCCCCGGAAUCCCGAUGCCAGAAACAACUCCCUCGGCUUUGCCCAAGGCCAGGCAGCUGGGAUAAGGCAGAGCUGGGGCUUCCAGAUGCUCUCUGACCUCGGUGCUCCACCCACUGCGCCCUCACCGUCUCCCCGUCCCGCAGCCCUGGGACCUUUCAGACCAAUCGCUCAGAGGCUGCGUGAGGCUGAGAAGCUCUUUCUUCAGCAACCAAAGCUGAAGAAGGGGGAACGGCCGCACCGUCCAGAACCAUGACAGCGGGAGACAUCACAACGUGGGUUUACGUGAUCCCUGGCACUUUGAAAAUCGUCUCCACCUGGCUGGCGUAGCUCAGUGGAUUGAGCGCAGGCUGCGAACCAAAGUGUCACAGGUUCGAUUCCCAGUCAGGGUACAUGCCUGGGUUUCAGGCCACGGCCCCCAGCAACCGCACAUUGAUGUUUCUCUCUCUCUCUCUAUCUCCCUCCCACUUCCCUCUCUAUAAAUACAUUUUUAAAAAUCUUGAAAAAAAAAAAAGAAAAUCGUCUCUGCAUGGUGACAAUUCAU